UACGUAGGGCGCAAGCGUUGUCCGGAUUUAUUGGGUUUAAAGGGUGCGUAGGCGGCCCUGUAAGUCAGUGGUGAAAUACUCCAGCUUAACUGGAGGGGUGCCAUUGAUACUGCAGGGCUUGAGUUAAGUUGAAGUUGGCGGAAUUGACGGUGUAGCGGUGAAAUGCUUAGAUAUCGUCAAGAACACCGAUAGUGAAGACAGCUAACUAAACUUUUACUGACGCUGAGGCACGAAAGUGUGGGGAUCAAACAGG
This 253-nucleotide ribosomal RNA is filed under the name uncultured bacterium. RNAcentral's name for it is "partial 16S ribosomal RNA". It matches the Rfam family "Bacterial small subunit ribosomal RNA", at positions 524 to 776 of the family's 1533-position model. The record is from RNAcentral.